GGAGAGGUGACCGAGUGGCUGAAGGCGCUGCUCUCGAAAAGCAGUAAGGGUUCACGCCCUUCGAGGGUUCGAAUCCCUCCCUCUCC
This 86-nucleotide transfer RNA is filed under the name Parcubacteria group bacterium CG_4_10_14_0_8_um_filter_48_154. RNAcentral's name for it is "tRNA-Ser". It matches the Rfam family "tRNA". From Rfam's summary of the family: Transfer RNA (tRNA) molecules are approximately 80 nucleotides in length. The record is from RNAcentral.